RNAcentral lists this ribosomal RNA (429 nucleotides) under Chloroflexota bacterium. Its description in RNAcentral is "Chloroflexi bacterium partial 16S ribosomal RNA". It matches the Rfam family "Bacterial small subunit ribosomal RNA", at positions 355 to 776 of the family's 1533-position model. The record is from RNAcentral. Lineage: Bacteria; Bacillati; Chloroflexota.
UAGGGAAUCUUCGGCAAUGGACGAAAGUCUGACCGAGCAACGCCGCGUGAGUGAAGAAGGUUUUCGGAUCGUAAAACUCUGUUGUUAGAGAAGAACAAGGACGUUAGUAACUGAACGUCCCCUGACGGUAUCUAACCAGAAAGCCACGGCUAACUACGUGCCAGCAGCCGCGGUAAUACGUAGGUGGCAAGCGUUGUCCGGAUUUAUUGGGCGUAAAGCGAGCGCAGGCGGUUUCUUAAGUCUGAUGUGAAAGCCCCCGGCGCAACCGGGGAGGGUCAUUGGAAACUGGGAGACUUGAGUGCAGAAGAGGAGAGUGGAAUUCCAGGUGUAGCGGUGAAAGGCGUAGAGAUCUGGAGGAAUACCGGUGGCGAAGGCGGCCCCCUGGACGAAGACUGACGCUCAGGUGCGAAAGCGUGGGGAGCAAACAGG